Molecule: long non-coding RNA, 517 nt
Filed under: Triticum aestivum (bread wheat)
Lineage: Eukaryota; Viridiplantae; Streptophyta; Magnoliopsida; Poales; Poaceae
Description: long non-coding RNA (TAES_LNC008846)
Source: RNAcentral
AACUUUCCACUGUGGGGUGAUGUACAUAUUUAAAAAAAAAAAACUAAUUGAAGCAGCAAAAUAAACCACGGCAUGAACUCAAAUGGUGUAAGAAAAAAAAACCUCAAAUGGUGCACAUUGUGUUUUUAGUGUAACAGGACAGCCAAUAAGCAUUACCAAACACACCAAGGUCGUGGAAGCAAACCAAAAGACACCAAAGGUCGUGUAAGAUCACUAGAUCUUCUGAAACAAACAUGAGGCUCGCCUUUCUUGUAGGGCAGUGCAUCAAGACACAAUCAUUACUGUUACAGAAAAGCAGUCAGUCGAAAGUAUACGCCGUCACCUCUUAGUUACACUGAUAAUCCACCAUAAUUCCAAAAGAUAAGCGACCGGCAAUUCGCAUUGCGGUAAACAGCUUACCGAAUGGGGGGAAGGGGGUGCUUGGGUACGGACCCAGUACACCCAGCGGCCAUGGCGGAGGCAGGUAUACGCUAGGCCCGCGGAAAGCGGCCGGCGGCAUGACGGGCGGGAAUGCUGG